AGGCUUAACAUGGGAAGUGAAUCAAAUCAAUUAUUACUGACCUACUACUUAUUUAGUUGUGCAGUAAAUUAUACCAUGUUUACCAGUUAUUCACCACAAUCACAUUUGCCAUGUCACUCAGCACACUUCACAAAUGAAAUAUAAAUCAUAUAUAAUGUUCUAAAGUAACAUCUUUUAAAGUCAUACCACUUCAGUUCUUAAUGCAAAGACAAUUUCUGAGUUAUUUCUCCCAAAGUUACAUAAAACUUUCUUUUCAAUAGUGACAUGUACAUAAAAGCUUAUUUUGGUGUCUCUGAAAUGAACAAUACAAACUCUUGAAGGUCACAGACCUGAGGUCAAAGCGAUGCACUGGCAUGUCCCCAGCUUUCCCUGUUUUUGUUCUCUUUGAAGGAAUCCUACCAUAUAUCUGCAUUAAGAAUUAACCCUUAUACAAGGCAUGAUGUCAUGGCGUGGGCCAUUGUCGGGGCCACACUCCUUCUCUGUGAACCGGUGUGAGAUCAGGGCAGCAGCAGGAGGCCAAAAGACUCAGCCAAGGAGCCCCUCCCUCUGGGGCCACAAUAGGAGCAGCUGCGAGGCGUUUGGGAAAAGUGUGACAACUAAAGAGCAUUCAGGGCUCAGUCAAGCAGUGGCCUUGUGUCCCCUGCCUCACUCACCAAUAAGGAGGUGGAGACAGAGAUGGCCGUGAAAGGGAAAGGAAUAUGUUUGGUUUGCAAAUUAGCCAAAACAUUGGCUGUGACCCUCAGAGGAGUGUGAGAAAAAAAGGAAAACUUCCUCCUAAGGUGAUUACAGAGAUGAUCCCACAAGGUCUUCCCAUUCAAAAUAGGUGUCUUAGAUUAAAAAAAAUACUGAAAUUCUCUGUCAGUUUCCCUUCAGAGCACAGACUAUACACAUGACAGUAUGUCUUUUUUGAACCGAUGUUCAUCUCUCAUCUGUGACAGCGAUGCAAAUGUUUGUGUCUGAAAGCAACCAUCACUGUGACGCUAACUCUGUGCUGAAAGCCUCAUUCAUUACCUCACCAGCCUCCUCAGACAAGCUGUGGUUUGGGUGACAUAUGUGCAACUCCUCAACCCCCCCAACCACACCAGCCCCUCUGCCUUUGUGUCUUUAGAUUUCCUGUUGUCAGGAGGGGGGCUGGCAGCAGCGUGUGUGUUUGUGUCUCCGUGUGUGUGAAAGUCGUUAGGCGUCUUUUAUGAUCUGAUGAGGGUGCUUUGGAGGGAAAAAAGCCCUCAGUCAACUGCCAGAUGAUGGACAUUAAGGUGUUGGGAUGUGGAAAUGAGUGUGUGGGUGUGUGAGACUGUCUGUGUGUGGUGUGAGGCAAUGUCAAGGUGUUAUCAAAAUUUGUCCAAACUCUGCAACAAAGCUUUGAAUUUUGACCAAAAUAGAAAUCACAUUAUUUCUUCCUCAGUGUGGUCGAUACAUUCACUCUUAUCAUAGCCUCUUGUUUUUUUGUCAGUAUUAUUCAAAUAUAAAUGACCUUAAUGUCACUUUGUUGUCAGUUGGCUGUUCAAUUUCACAGCUAAGCUUUGACUCAACAUCAAAGUCCUUUUAAUUAACACCAACCUAAGAAAACAAAGCUUAUAUAAUGCGUCUGACUCUGCUGCCAUGACAGGAAGGGACAUAAUCCCACUCCUCCCUUUUAGCACUGUUCACUUUGGAUCAAAUACAGCAGCUCUGUUUUCGCUCUUAUGUAAGACACAUGACUUUAUGACAUCAGGAGACAUAUUCCCACAUCUUUCAGGAAUGUGGCUGGCACAUCUGAAUUUAAUGGGACCGGAUGUUUGAAAAAACCAUUAAAACUCCCUGAUCUGUUUGAAUAUCACAAAGUGGAAAUAUUUAGGGAAGGACAGUUCAGAUAUUGAAUUUCCCCUCGUGGAUCAAUAAGGUUCUUCUUAUCUUAUCAAAUAAUGAAAUGUCCCGAUGAAAGUUACUUCAUUAAAUAGUUUGAUUAAGUAUGAGCCCAUUUUAAGUUUCAUUUUACGUCACAACAGCAUGCUGUAAAAACGAUUGUUAACCUUUUUAAGGGCGAAAAUUCUCAGAGAUGUAGAGCCAAGUUUAAGAAGAAAAAGUUCAUAUUACAUGAAUAGAUUCAUCGAGUCAUGAGAAAAGUCAUCAUUUGAUGUUCACUCAGUCAGCCCCCUGAACUUAAAUGAGGAAUGUAGAACAUCUUGUGACAUUACAUUUGAGCGCUUAAAUAACUGAAUAUGUCGUCUUUUAGCACUAAAGCACCACAUCAUCAUAAAUAACAGGACUCUGAAUCGAUUUAAGACUGGGCAGUCUGAACGGCAGCCUCAGUAUGUUUUCAAAAACAGUUUGUCCUCAGCGAUUAAACACAACCUCACAAGAUGAUCUCUCUUCCUGAUUUUGUGCAGGCAGCUGGUGCUCCUCUGAUGUCCCCAUGUACCUAAUUUAACAAAUAGAUUAAUAUUGCCUGUAACUCUGGCUUUUACGUAAUACAAAAUCUAUUCUCAUAAGACUUCCCUUAUCCUUGUAAAUUUAUGUUUCUAAUCUUGAGCAACAUGUUCAUUUUUGGAAAAACUACAACUCAUUUUUUCAAAUAGAUUUACCAUUUUUCCUGUUAGUUUUCAGCAAGUCUCAUUAAAGAGUUCAUUCUUGUAUCUGACCCCUUUUUUGAAUUUUACAACUUUAACCUUGUGAAACCAUGACUUAUUCAGUCACAACAAAACUACGAUUACAUCUUUAUUGUUGAAAUCUCAAAGUGUUAUCAUCCUUAAUGCAGCCCAGUCCUAUAACAGCAAGAUGAAGUUUUCCAUUUGAAAACACAGCUUAUACAAGGUGGACAAAAUAAGUAAAGUGUGAAACCUAACACAAACCUUCAGCUCCUAACAGGAGCUUUAAAAUAGCAAUGAGGAACUCAAGCAUCUAUCCUUGGGCCCCAGAUGGUAAAACGCUUUUAUAUAUCUGUUUUACAGUUAUCUUGUGGGGAGAGAGGUCAUUCUUUCCUGUUAGUUUCUUUUGGCCUCCAUGUACAUCUCUCCAGCCCUCUCUGAUUCAACAGCCCUUUAAAGAGUUAAAUCAAACAGGGAUGGCCUUCAUUUAGAGAUCCCACUUUCAAGGUUGUAACCUGGUUUGACAUAUUUGCUCUGGCAGGAUUUAGACAAGCAGAUCGUACUGCAGGUAAAAAAGUUAACAUCAACUGAUGCAUUUUUUUCUGCACAUUUUGCAAGUUACACUAUCUGAUCACAAAAGAUGUGUCUAUAAAUGCAUGGGAUAUUAUGUUUCAGCCUAAUUUAUAACUGUCAUUAACAUGUGACUGACAAAUUUUAGUUAAAAAUAAGCAGUAAUCUGCAGUUUGACUUUACUGUCUUUGUUCAGCUUAACAUCAGUAUUCAGUUCCUGUAAAACUGUGUUCUAUCUCUGAGCUUAGACAUUGUUUCUUUAACCAGUGACAAAGGUCAAAAUUACACAACAGACUUCUCCAAAUGAGCAACUUUGACAAAGAUAAAUCUGCAUCAAACCAGAAAUACCUCAGCUGUACGCUACCAUGACAACAAGACAAAAACAGACCCAAAAUUUCUCAGAAGUGAAGACCCACUAAACUUAACCGCACUUCCUGAGUGAGGAAGUAACAUGCGAACACAAUUGCAGUCUGAUUAGUCGAGGAUGCAAAGUAAUUACACCUCUCACCGUUUACCCUACCUCCAAACUUAAUUAAUUUAGUCUCUCACUCACACACACACACAUAGACCUCCAUUCUCACUCACGCACAAUAUCCUGAGUGGGGAGAUUUAGUCCACACAUUGAUGUCAACGGCACACUACUCACCUGCAGUAAAUCUGUAAGAGGAUUAAGAGUGUGACGGUAGGCCUCAGUAACAUGUUUCAGCUGUGGCGUCAUAUUGGCUUCUUCUAAUCUUUACAUCAGCACCAAGUGAAGACGUUCGCAAACAGUCUGUCGAGCCAGAUGCCAAAUCUCAUGCUGGUUUUGUUGCUACAGGGUCAGCUGUGAGCUUUUCUGUAAAAGAGGGCGAUGUCUCCAAGCCAAAAGAUACCUUGGAAAUGUAAAAUUAGCAGAGACAUGCUACAGGUACCAUGUAUUACAUGAAUUCUUAAGACAGAAUAUAACAGUAGUAAUUAGUUGUGUGAUAGGCUUAUUAUUUAAUCCGCACACGAUAUUGAAGACCCUGAAAUACACAACCCCAAAAGUUGGGAUGCUAUGUAAAAUGUGAAAAAAAGGUAGAUUUUAAUGGUUGACAAAUCAGUUGACAAAUGGUUGAUAAACUUUGCAAAGACUUCUUGACUAAUUACAUAUUAGAAACUGGACUUUUUAGUGAAAAAUGGGUGCUCAUUUAAAGUCAGUUAGGACUGGGAUGUGUUGACCAUUGAGUCCCUUAAGCUCUACUUUCAACAACACUCUGUUAACAUUUGAGAUCUGACAAAACCAGUUUCUAGAGUUCUGGAGGUGAAAUGUUCCACACAGGCCUGAUACUGGAUUUUCUGCUCCUAACCAGUUUGCAUCUCCUUUGUUGUUUAUGAUCAAAAGAAUGUACACAUUUUGAUUUGUUGGGUUGCCGAACAGUUCUACAUUUUACCUCAUUUCACUUUUAAUGGGCUUGGCUUCGUUUUUUUUUUUUUUUGGACCAUGUGUUUUCCUCUUUGCAUUUUCCAGUUUUAAACCUGCAUUUGUGGGUAAAGCUACAGACAGGAAGGGAUUAUGAAGCCAUGCAGUGAUUUCCAUUAUAGAGUCAUUUCAGAUUUUAAUGCAGUGUUGCCUGAGGGCCAAAGAUCUCCACCAACCAGUAUUGGCUUAUGGCCUUGUACCGUUUGUAAAGAGAUUUCUUCAGAUUCUCUGAAUCUUGUCAUGACAUUAUUGGCCAUGAUAAAAUCCCCAAAGCCUUUGCAAUUUUA
RNAcentral lists this long non-coding RNA (4865 nucleotides) under Xyrichtys novacula (pearly razorfish). The record is from RNAcentral. Lineage: Eukaryota; Metazoa; Chordata; Actinopteri; Labriformes; Labridae.